This 234-nucleotide unclassified non-coding RNA is filed under the name Hevea brasiliensis (rubber tree). Lineage: Eukaryota; Viridiplantae; Streptophyta; Magnoliopsida; Malpighiales; Euphorbiaceae. The record is from RNAcentral.
GGGGAAAUUCAAAGCGACCCAAAUGUGAUUUUCUCUUUUUUAGCCCCCUUUUUUGCUUCUCUCUUUUAAAUUUAUUUUUUUUAAUCUUUUUGAGGGUUUAUACCUGAGAUGAAACGGUACCCAUGUGGAGUCUUUUGCAUAUUCUUGAUGGUUAUUCUUAUUUUGCUUUGUUUCUAUUUUUUUUUCCUUGUUAUACGAUAAAUUUGGAAACAAUUAGUUUUUUUUUUUUUUUUU